Molecule: unclassified non-coding RNA, 364 nt
Filed under: Dodonaea petiolaris
Lineage: Eukaryota; Viridiplantae; Streptophyta; Magnoliopsida; Sapindales; Sapindaceae
Description: partial external transcribed spacer
Source: RNAcentral
GACUGCAUGCUCCUUGCUUGUGCAUCGAAUUGCAAGCCCCUCGUCCUCUUCAAAUUUAACCCCAAGCAUGUUGCAUGUUCUGUGGGUGCGUUGGAUAUCCUGUAUGGCUUACCAAUUUUAUGGUAUUCGGUGUUUUUGAAGCCUACAUCCGUCCGAUGCCUGUUAUGGUGUUGGGUGGACAAUAGGUUGGCCCCAUGCUCCUAGCAUGCUUUGCAAGAAUGUCUGGCUGCCAAGGUGCAUGGGGUCAUGCCCGUUCUUUCGGAUGCUGACCGUUAUGUGUGUUGACGAGGGGUCUUGGCCUGUACUCGUCUGCUGUACGCACUUGUCCCUUAACAUGAACGACCGCCUCUCCUGUUUUGGCCCA